This 951-nucleotide long non-coding RNA is filed under the name Ailuropoda melanoleuca (giant panda). RNAcentral's name for it is "lncRNA (ENSAMEG00000024325.1)". The record is from RNAcentral. Lineage: Eukaryota; Metazoa; Chordata; Mammalia; Carnivora; Ursidae.
UUUGAUCUGUUUAUGAAACAAAGCACGGCCGAGAGAAUCAUCUGGUGUUAAGCAGAUGCCGGCCAGACAGGACAGGAGGAGCCGGACAGAGAGCCACGUCGCUGGGAAAGCAGAGCCUUGUGUCAAGGCACCUCGCAGCAAGAUCCCUGGGCCCAGGUCUGUGGCCCCUGCCUCCACUGUACCCGGAGCGCCCCAGAACAGAAACAGGUGUUGUUCUGGAAGGAUCCAGCGCCUCGUGGGAUGGACUUGCUCCAGUGGCUGAGCAGCUCAUGUGAAGAAAGGCGAUGGUGGAUCCCACAGAGGCCCCCUGGAUCCCCAGUCCAGAGCUGGGCACCCCGUGGUGGUGGUGUGGGGGGGGGAAGAGACAGUAAGACCUGCUCCGCUGAUCCGAGCAUAAGGUUUUCUGGAAUGUGAAUCAUACUUGGUCAAGAUCCCAAAAAUAAAAUGCAAAUCUUCCUCUGAUUUAUAGUAGCUGUCUUCACAGGAAACUCAGCGGGAAUGAAAACCCUGGGGGUAACCGGUGUUUUCAUAUGAAAUCAAACACCCGCAGGACUGUGAGGGUCUGGGCUCAGAUGAUUUUUGGCCAGGUUCUUUACCCGUCUGGACUUGCAGUGGAACAUCGGUCAUGUGGGACCCGGGUCACUCCAUCGAGAGGGACAGUCCUGUGCAGUCCAGGAUAUCUGACAUCUCUGACCCUCAUGGGCUAAAUGCCAACCGCAUUUCCUCAAAUCUUUGUGGAAACCAAAGUGCCCCAACAUGUUUCCAGAGUGUUCCUUGGAGCAGCACCUGCUCAGCUGAGAAGGACUACCCGAUGAGGUCAAGGUGAGGGGUGCAGGUGGACUUUUCAGCCUUGACCUUCCCAUCUGCAAUGUCCUGCAGCUGACGGGGGAGGGGCUCCUUCCUGCGGACUGGGGUGGGGGGUGGGGUUCAGCUUUGCCAGAUGUCCGAGAG